GAAGAAACUGUACAGGAAUAAACUUACGUGAUCCUCAUUUCAAGGAGAAGAAGGAGAAGUUGAAGAAGGAGGAGAAGGAGAAGGAUGAGAAGAAAAACAAGAAGAGGAAGGAGAAGGAGGAGGAAAAUGAGAAGGAGAAGAAGAGAAGGAACAGCAGCAGUUGCAGGAGGAGGAGAAAGAGGAGGAGGAGGAGAACAGAGUGUGCAGAAGCUGGGGGGUAAAUGCAAUCUUGAGAAAUUCAGCACAGUUCCAACAGUGUGUGUUAUGCCUGGGCACGAAGGGUCCUACCUCAGCAAGAUCAAGGGGAUUCCAAUGUUGGAAGCAUUUUUAGCAUACAACAACAUCCAAGUGGAUUACGAUGAAUGCCUAGACCUCUAUGGCAAACAGUCUCUUCGUGGCCUGUGCUGAGGACUACAUCAGUCUCCUGCAAUUAUCAUCUACACUGAAAAACAAAGAGGACAGAGGCAAAGCUAGUGGCCCUCACCAUCCCCUGCAAGCUGAUUGCUUCUUACUGCAAGCACUUGAGCAUCUUCCUGAGAGCUUUCUUGGGCAAUGGGAACCAGGCUUGGCCCAUUCACAGGCAGGUGAGAAGUAUGAGGAAAUGGAGAAGGCAUUGUCCAAGGAGCAGUCUUCAACCUUCGCCCCGCAAGUGAGACAACUCUGAAUAAGAUGUGUUCUACACUCUCUUCCAAAGGUCCCCAGUUGGAUGGAGCUCUAGCUGCUCAUGUGAUAAGCUGCCUAUUAAUACACAAAAGAUUGCCUUUCCUCCUUGCUCUGUCUUCCUGCUGCUCUCCUACUAAUGUUUCCUGGGAUUGCCUCCAAAU
This 824-nucleotide long non-coding RNA is filed under the name Pan troglodytes (chimpanzee). RNAcentral's name for it is "long non-coding RNA NONPTRT009133". The record is from RNAcentral. Lineage: Eukaryota; Metazoa; Chordata; Mammalia; Primates; Hominidae.